GCACUGUCGUCUCUUCGCUGCUUCUUCCCCUCGCUUCUCUCCUCCUCCGAUCUUGAAAUCCCAGCGCAUGGUGGCUGGCACCUCUCCCCUCUUUCUCUUCCCCGCCCCAAGUUUUCCAUCCUCCGCUGAUGCGCACCGUUGUUCGGGAGCAAGAGGGGCCCCGCCUCCUGUGCUGUGGCGCUGCCCAACGGCAGGCCCGGACACUCGAGCCGACCGCCUGUUGCCAGCGUCGGCUUGAGCGGCCGCCACCCCCUCUCCUCUCCAAUCGGGAACUCGGACCUCACCAGCAGAGCCCUCGUUUUCAGGGAAGGUAGCCAUCGCCAGCGAUUGAGGAUGCCUCCCGACGAGCAUGCUCGUGGUUGCCCACAUCCCAGAAGUGCGUGGGAGCCGGUGUCUUUGGGCAGAGUGGGGAUCUUCAUUGCUUCUUUAGGCUGGGGAGGCUGCUCUACGCCGGGUCUUUUUCUGCUUCCUCUGGUGUGUCUUUUGGGGCAGCACGGCCAUCAUCUCGGUCAGAGGAAGGGCGCAUUCUCGAUCUGGUCGAACCUGGUGUGCACGGCAAGGCAGCUCUGUAUGGAGGGAGAGGCAAUUUGGGGACGACUUCUUGAUGAGUAGAAUUUACUAAGCAAUUAGAUCAAAUACGUAUAUAUUUAAUGCAAUGCUCUGUUCGGUAUCUGAAUGCUCAAAUUGGAAAGUUGUGUCAGCUUGACAAUUGUCAAAUCCCUGCUGGAAAAGUACCACAUUGAUUUGAAGCUAAUUGGCCACCUUGUGGUUGGUAGCGAGACAGUGAUAGACAAAAGUAAAUCCAUCAAAACGUGGUUGAUGCAAUUUUUUGAGUAAUGCAUGUUAUGGUGGAACAACCUCCCUCUUGAAUUGGUGUAACUUCGAUCGAAAGUCGAUGUUGGGAUGAACGUUACGGCCUUGUAGUCUGCACAGAUAGCACGGUUUAUGCAGAGGGGCCAGCUCGGCCUAUGGGUGGAGCUGCUACAGUUGCUAUGCUUAUUGGUCCAAAUGCAUCUAUUUCUUUCGAAAGCAAAUAUAGAGCUUCUCACAUGACUCAUGUUUACGAUCUCUACAAGCCUCAUCUUGCAAGUGAAUAUCCGGUUGGGGACAUAGGUGUGUGGUUGCUGAGUUAACUGCGUCAUUUUGAAGUUCUGAUAAGAAAAAUCCACAGUCGCCAUGCUAUUAUGUCCUUUUUAAGUGGCCUGAAUUCGCUCGUGCUUGGUGCAGCGAGAUGCAUGGCGCUGCGGGAGUUGUGGCGGACAUGGACAGAUGAAUUCACAUGAUCUUGAGAUUGCAUGGAACCCUAUGUUAUUGACACAUAAGGUGUAUGAUCUCGACCUCACUGAACCAUGUCUUGGUAAAUUUAUCGGUUCCUUACAUCUGUCCGUGUAACUUCGAACCCAGUUUAGACAUACUCAGUUUCACAGGGCAGACGAGUAAGGAAAAGCAAUUGAUGUUGUUAAGAAGCAUUGGGGAAACUCAUAACACUUCUGUUGAAACUACUUGUGAGCAGAUGUUUGCGCCAUUAAUGUCGACCAUUAUAUUGGAGAACCUGAGUGUAAAUAAAUUUGCAUCUUGUUUGUUUCAAGAACCUGAGUGUUGUUACAGAAUAACAUAUUAGCUAAUCUCAAUUUCUUAGGGUGACACCUGUUGCACCAAUUGACAUUGUUGACAGCAUAACAAAAGAAGCUUGAACUAAUAUUAAGUUUUGCAAUUGAGAA
Long non-coding RNA from Aegilops tauschii subsp. strangulata, 1721 nucleotides. RefSeq lists it as uncharacterized. The record is from RefSeq and is a predicted model, not a curated record. Lineage: Eukaryota; Viridiplantae; Streptophyta; Magnoliopsida; Poales; Poaceae.